UUACUAAUGAGAGUAAUGUAGCCUAUGUAUAAGGGUGUGCAAACUUUAGCACUUACCAUUAUAUGUACUUCUUUCUGGCUGUGUAUAUACAGUAAUUCGAAAUUGGUGCAUUAAUUAGUGAAUUGAUAUGCCGAUGGUGAUUUUGAACUGAAUUGUUCCUACAAUUCUAGAAAGGGUUCACUGGAUAAUUAAGGACUCUUCUCUUCUAAAUAUAUAUAUAUAUAUAUAUAUAUAAUAGGGAAGCACUUUGUUGUAGGGUUCUACACAGAACCUUUAAUGGAUCCUGCAGAGGGACAACCGAAGAAUUCGUACAGGUAUUAAAUGUUCUGUAUAUAGUAUGAGUUUAUGCAUAUAUUCGUAAUGAGAGUAUGCGCUUAGCGUAUAACAUUAACGUUAUUUGGGGGGUUUUUCUCACAUGGCUUUUGUGAUUUGUUCCCUCACUGAGAAUUUGGCCUUUUCAACAAACAGCCACAUUUUUUUUUCCUUCUCCAUGAGAACAUGGCCUUUGCAGUCUCACACUCGUGAGCUACAGCUGAGAACUCAUAACCUUUUGGUCGCUGCCCUCACUAUUGUAUUUACGGUAUUUACAGUUAAGUGAAGUACAGUGAAAUAGGAGAGCACAUUUCCUUUAUUGAGGACUCGGGAAAGUGUUGAGCAAAAGGGAAAAGUCCACUUGAAAGAGAAAAAAAAGGAAGAAGGACAAAAGAGAGUUAAAUAAUCUACUGUUCUUCAUCUGCUGGAAAUCUUCUUCUUCUUAUUAUUAUUAUUAGUAGUAUUCUAUUAAAUAACAUUAUUAUUAUUAUUAAAGGAAGCACUACAAAUGUUUAGAGAUGUGAAUGAAUGAAUAGUGUAAGAUGUGACUUAAUUAUUUAUUAAACUUUAUGGGCAUGCUGUAGUGUAAAAUAAAGUGUAUUGACUCAGUGAGUCAAGAUAGUGUGUGUGUGUGUGUGUGUGUGUGUGUGUGUGUGUGUGUGUGUGUGUGUGUGUGUGUGUGUGUGUGUGUGUGUGUACACUGCCAGUCAAAAGUUUUCCCUGCAUUUACAGUUUUGGUUAAACUUUAAGAAAUUAGAUUGAUAUUUUCCACCUUAUUUAAUUACCUAUAGUGAGUAAACAACAACAACAACAACAACAACAACAACAGCAAUAAUAAUAACUACUACUACUACUCAUCACUACUAUAUCACUAAAACAAUCCUGAUUAUUCUCAUCAUUUGAUAAAUGUAAUAGAUUUACUAUUAAAUGAACAGAUAAUCAGUUAUUCAGAGAUCACUCAAAGAGUAUUUAAAAUUUUUUUUUUUUUUACAAAAGAUCAAAAGGUUAAACAAUAAUGUCUUCGCUUAUAUUUACCAAGGGUGCCAAUAUUAGUGGCGGGCGCUGUGUACACACACACACACACACACACACACACACAUACACACAUAAGCUAUUACACUAAAAGCAGCCUCAGUACUUCUGUGUUUUGUAUAAGAACUCAGUAAUCAUGCGUGGUCAUUGUGUUUGUGAAUUCUUCGCAAGCGAUUCAACUGUAAGGUUCGUGCUAAAACAUCUGUAAACAUCAUUCUUCAGAAAUUUCCUCUCACUCUUACUCCACACUCCUCUCAGAGUAGGAACUGACAUUUUUUGAAAUAGAAAAAAAGCGGUGUCUUGUGGUGUUUACUCACCCACUCCCGCUCGGUAAAUUCGAUCUAAACAUGAUUUACGGGAGCAAUUUUGAGGAGUGUUAUGACUGCAGGCCGAGGUUCACGCUCUCAGGAUGGGGAUGAAGGAUUUCUUGGCCUUCAGGUUAAAUAUGAAGUGAUUUUUUUUUUAGUUUUUUUUUUUUCCUACACAGGAGCUUUUUGAACAGUAAAGACCUUAUUGUGCUCUGAUGGAUAUUUACUGGAGCUCAUGGUGUAUCCGCUUUCAAAAACAUCAACAAAAUGGCUUUAAAAAAAUAUAUAUAUCUAGUCUCGUUUUUACCAUCAUAGGCAUUUAUGCAGCUGGGAGUCUUGUAUUCACUCUAUCUUUGGAUGGUUAAGUUCUACCUUUAAAAAAAGAGUACCACUCAGCAUGAUCUCUAUAUGGCCUACUGCUGUAGGGUUCCACAUAGAUUGUUUCAGGGUUCUAGAUCCGUCAUUUUUUCUCUAAGAACAUAUCUUAUGCUAACUUUAGUCUUUAAUCUCCAAAUAUGGAGCAGCUAGUCACAGUUAGUUCGUUCGUUCAUUCAUUCAUUUGUCCGUCCAUCCUGGCGGUUAAAGCUCUUUGAAAGCUUUGUCUUGGUUACUGAUCAGAAGGUCGGGGGUUCAAGCCCCAGCACUACCAAGCUGCCACUGUUGGGCCCUUGAGCAAGGCCCUUAACCCUCUCCGCUCCAGGGGCGCUGUAUCAUAGCUGACCCUGCGCUCUGACCCCAGCUUCCUAACAUGCUGGGGUAUGAAGAAAAGAAUUUCACUCUGCUCUAAUGUCUAAGUGACUAAUAAAGACUCAUUAUCUAUCUAUCUCUCUAUCUGUUUAGUUAGAUAGUUAGUGUAUAUUAUCCAUCACUGCUAGUGUAGUCAUUAUCUUCAACAUGUUUCACACUAACACCAUGUUCACACAAGUCUCUUGUUGUUUGUUGUUUAUGGGGUGGCCUAUUAAGUUUUUUCUUACUACAGGAAAGAAUUGACAGCAGUCAUAUACAGCUUCUAAAGCUAACUAGUUAAACACAAAUGACUAAUCAGUGUGAGUAUGGAUUUUUUGAUCGAUCAACUUCGUACUGUUCUCAGAAUAGAUUAGCAAAGUGAGCUGACCGUACUAACUCGUGUACACUCGCCAGAAUCACCGACGAUCACUGCUACUUCCUUAAGGAAUUUAUUUCUCUUCGUACCGUCUCUAUACACCCACUGAGCGGUCUUAUAUGACGGGUUAAGAUGGAACCACGGUAAUAAGUUUGUUUUGCAUGGGAAAUGAGAUUGGAAAUGAACCGAAGAAACUUUGGAUUGUGCGCGCUAUAGGAUCGCUCUGAGGAAUCCUUCGGAUUUGCAGAGAACUGAGAAAAAUCUCAAUUGAAAUAUUGCUGAAAUCACACCUCCCGUGUGACAAUGAGCGCUCGUCUGCUGUUUUGUCGCUCGCUAUCGUGAGUGUAAGAUUAUAGAUGAGAAAGAGUUGAAAAGUUCUGGCCGUGGAAUAUUCUUCUCGGUUUGCGAGUAUGGAUCUGCUCGUCGUUACCAAAUGUGUUCGCAUUUAAGUAAGCAUGUACGAGAGUUCCUCCGCUGCUCGAGACAUCGCAGUUUCAACAAAACUGAAAUUAGCAAGCCUUUACCUCACCCACCUGACUCCAUCCCUUCUGCUGAAUCUACAUCUGCUUUAUAACUUGCCUUAUAGGGAAAAGUAUUGAAGCUGAACAGGGCAAAGGGCUUAUUUCUGUACCAUUACCAGUACUGUUGAUAAGACAAUUUCAGGGACAUUUGUGUAAUUAUACUACUAUUAAAUGUUAUUAAAAACACUUAACUGAAAAAUGGAUGAAUAGAGUGAAAACUUUGCGUCUUAUAUGUUUUCUGGGCAAACUAAAAAGAAUCUAUUCUUUUACUUAUAUACACAAAGAAAGAAGUAUAAAAAAAAAACAUGAGAAGGGAAAUAGAAAGAAAAUUUUACGAGUCUUGCAACAGGUUUUGUCAUAGUGCUAGUGCUAGUUUUGUGAUAAUAAAGAAACGCCAUCAAACCUAAGACACUAAACGUCUUCUUUUAGAAAUAAAUGUCAUCUAUUUUCAUGAUGUCCUGAGGCUGUGCAAAUUCCUGCACUGAAACCUUCUGUACAAGUUAUCUGAUAAUAGACCAACAUCCAUCAAACCUGAGAUGCUAAACGUUUUCUCUUUAAAAAAUAAACGUAUGAGUUUCAUUUCGUCCCGAAGGCAUGCACACGUUCCACACUGCGUAGAUUUACAUUAAACCUGAAACACAAAUGCGUUGAUAGUGAUAUGAUUAAUAAUUUAUGUCUUGAUUUUAAUGACAUGGUAAAAAGAUUUUUUUUCUUUUCUAUUUCCUGUCUGAGGAACGAGUGAACGAACUUUGCCACAGUGUUGUCUCCUACAGAAAGGGUUUCCAAAGAGACGGUUUUUACUGAAGCGAAAUUGCUUGAGGUCAACGGAGUCUAAACAUUUAGGGUUCCAAAGGAAAAAUUUGUCUGCGAUACAGAUGUACAUUUUCUUAGUUUAAACCGACCAGCCGGUUCUCCUCUCGGGAAAGGUGAAGACGAACUUCCUCUCCGACUACAUCUGCUCAGGCCGCAUCACAGGAAAAUGCGCUAUCUGUCCUUUUCCACAUACUGUACAUGAUGCCUACGCUUGGUUAGUGUCACUGUGAUUGACAGGGGACAGAGAGCGAGAGAAUGCAGCCAGGGACGGCUGUGUCAUCGUCGGCAUUUCGAUUCAUGUUCUCCAGACAGUCAUUUUUAACGGUGCAAACCUACACCAUGCGAAAGUUUGGAAUUGCCCUCGCCGUCUCUGAAAAAUCCCAUUGCAAGCUCUUUAACAGAAGAAUAUUUCAUAGCACAAUUGUUGUCCUGCGCCUUUCUCCGCAGCGUAUUAAUCUUCAACAGUUAGUUUUUGCUUUCACUGUUAGUUUUGGGAGGUGGUCUAAACCAGAAAAGUAUUCUUUUAUUCUGAGAUGAAGUUACUGAGCAUCAGAUGAAAGUGCAAAAACUUGCGAACAUGCUAAAGUUUCAACUGAUAGCUAAAAGGACAAAGGCUCGUCCCCUGACCUCGUAUGGGAAAUUGACAGACUUUGGCUGUACUACUUUCGCGGCUCGAUGCCGUAGGAUGGAUCUGAGCUUUCGCAAUUCGCAUGUUUUCAAAAUUUCUCACUAAUUCCAAGCCGAAUUCCAGCUCCGGCUGGGAAUUACUGCAAAGUGGUACUACAGGAUCGUCAAGAUGACUCAUAUAUUUUCGGCUCGGGCUUAGUAAUGCUUUUGUUUACAUUUUUAUUCAAAAGGCUGUUAUCUGAGCGGAACAGUGUGAAAAGAUGACAAAUCUGAUUAUUCGUUUAGGAAUGCUUCUAACCUCAUCGAAGUGCUAGACUCAGAUCUCUGGAUUCAAGAAGGCUUUAUGCAAGGCCUUACAGAAAGUCUUACAUUAGCUUAUUAGCAUCGUCUGUCUGCCUGUGAUAUUUAAACUUUAUUCUAAUGAAUUUAGCUGGUUCUGUUUCAUAACAUAUAAAGAAACUAGUAGCAUAAUUUAAACCACAAUGACCCUGACCAGGCAGUUACUAAGGAUGCAUUACUGAAUGCGGUAAAUGCAUCGCGCAGCACAGCAACGUAUAUGUUUUUACAUCAUUUCUGCUAUCAUGCUAUCAUGGGAACAGACUCAUUCAAACUGGACUGCUGAUUAGAUUAGAGACAAAAAAAAAAAAAAAACACUACCUGGCCUUUUUCCAGUCUUCACCUGUCCAGUUUGGGUGAGUCUGAGCCCAUGAUAG
Ictalurus punctatus (channel catfish) is the source of this 5428-nucleotide long non-coding RNA. The record is from Ensembl. NCBI's taxonomy places the organism in Eukaryota, Metazoa, Chordata, Actinopteri, Siluriformes, Ictaluridae.